GACGAACGCUGGCGGCGUGCUUAACACAUGCAAGUCGAGCGACGCUCUUCCUUCGGGGAGAUGACGGAGCGGCGAACGGGUGAGUAACACGUGGGCAACCUGCCCCUAGCUCUGGGACAACACCGGGAAACCGGUGCUAAUACCGGAUACGACAUCGAGCGGCAUCUCUCGAUGUGGAAAGUUUUUUCGGCUAGGGAUGGGCCCGCGGCCUAUCAGCUUGUUGGUGGGGUAAUGGCCCACCAAGGCGACGACGGGUAGCCGGCCUGAGAGGGCGACCGGCCACACUGGGACUGAGACACGGCCCAGACUCCUACGGGAGACAGCAGUGGGGAAUAUUGCGCAAUGGGCGAAAGCCUGACGCAGCGACGCCGCGUGAGGGAUGACGGCCUUCGGGUUGUAAACCUCUUUCAGCAGGGACGAAUUCAGACGGUACCUGCAGAAGAAGCACCGGCCAACUACGUG
RNAcentral lists this ribosomal RNA (462 nucleotides) under uncultured bacterium. RNAcentral describes it as "partial 16S ribosomal RNA". It matches the Rfam family "Bacterial small subunit ribosomal RNA", at positions 28 to 507 of the family's 1533-position model. The record is from RNAcentral.